Molecule: ribosomal RNA, 253 nt
Filed under: uncultured bacterium
Lineage: Bacteria
Description: partial 16S ribosomal RNA
Rfam family: Bacterial small subunit ribosomal RNA
Source: RNAcentral
UACGGGGGGGGCAAGCGUUGUUCGGAAUUAUUGGGCGUAAAGAGCUCGUAGGCGGCCUGUCGCGUCGGAUGUGAAAGCCCGGGGCUUAACCCCGGGUCUGCAUUCGAUACGGGCAGGCUAGAGUGUGGUAGGGGAGAUCGGAAUUCCUGGUGUAGCGGUGAAAUGCGCAGAUAUCAGGAGGAACACCGGUGGCGAAGGCGACUCGCUGGACAAGUAUUGACGCUGAGGUGCGAAAGCGUGGGGAGCAAACAGG